AUGGAUGGAAAUGCAGCAGCUGAUGGGGGUGAGCCCACCUACGAUCCAAUGAAAGAUCCAACAAGGAAGCCACAACGGUCAAAUGAUCCGGGAUGGCACUAUGGAUAUUGGUCUGAGCCUCCAAAUCGGGAUCUUGUUGUGUGCGCUCUUUGUGGCAAGAUAACUUCUGGAGGGAUCAAGAGGCAUAAAGAGCAUCUUGCGGGCGUCGGUGGAGAUGCAAUUGGUUGUCCUAAGGCCACCACACAAUUGAGGAGAGAAAUGGGAACAUAUUUGGAGCAAAAUAGGAGGAUCAAGGGAGUAGUUGAUGUAGAUGAUGUUCAGGAGGUUGUGGAGGUGAGUUCAGUUGGAGCAAACAUCGCCUCUAAAAGGCCAAGCUCAGGGACAACAGCCAAACAGAAUAAGAAAGCGUUUAUCACCAACAUGCAAGGUAAAAAGAAGUCUGUUUCUGUUGUGUCUGCCGCCAAUAGUUCCAAGCCAAUUGUUGCCAUGCUACGAAGACCACCCGAGGAUCUUAUAGAUGAAAGACGCUCUGGGUGUUCUCAAAGCACCAUGGAGUCCAGCACGAAGACUCCAGAAGAGAGGCAGUAUGUCAAUAUGCAGUGGGCAUUGUUCUUUUAG
RNAcentral lists this ribosomal RNA (618 nucleotides) under Triticum aestivum (bread wheat). Its description in RNAcentral is "partial small subunit ribosomal RNA". Lineage: Eukaryota; Viridiplantae; Streptophyta; Magnoliopsida; Poales; Poaceae. The record is from RNAcentral.